AAUACAUGCAAGUCGAACGCUUCUUUUCCACCGGAGCUUGCUCCACCGGAAAAAGAAGAGUGGCGAACGGGUGAGUAACACGUGGGUAACCUGCCCAUCAGAAGGGGAUAACACUUGGAAACAGGUGCUAAUACCGUAUAACAAUCAAAACCGCAUGGUUUUGAUUUGAAAGGCGCUUUCGGGUGUCGCUGAUGGAUGGACCCGCGGUGCAUUAGCUAGUUGGUGAGGUAACGGCUCACCAAGGCCACGAUGCAUAGCCGACCUGAGAGGGUGAUCGGCCACAUUGGGACUGAGACACGGCCCAAACUCCUACGGGAGGCAGCAGUAGGGAAUCUUCGGCAAUGGACGAAAGUCUGACCGAGCAACGCCGCGUGAGUGAAGAAGGUUUUCGGAUCGUAAAACUCUGUUGUUAGAGAAGAACAAGGAUGAGAGUAACUGUUCAUCCCUUGACGGUAUCUAACCAGAAAGCCACGGCUAACUACGUGCCAGCAGCCGCGGUAAUACGUAGGUGGCAAGCGUUGUCCGGAUUUAUUGGGCGUAAAGCGAGCGCAGGCGGUUUCUUAAGUCUGAUGUGAAAGCCCCCGGCUCAACCGGGGAGGGUCAUUGGAAACUGGGAGACUUGAGUGCAGAAGAGGAGAGUG
RNAcentral lists this ribosomal RNA (641 nucleotides) under uncultured Bacilli bacterium. RNAcentral describes it as "bacterial SSU rRNA". It matches the Rfam family "Bacterial small subunit ribosomal RNA", at positions 50 to 663 of the family's 1533-position model. The record is from RNAcentral. Lineage: Bacteria; Bacillati; Bacillota; Bacilli.